Molecule: unclassified non-coding RNA, 370 nt
Filed under: Artemisia pauciflora
Lineage: Eukaryota; Viridiplantae; Streptophyta; Magnoliopsida; Asterales; Asteraceae
Description: partial external transcribed spacer
Source: RNAcentral
UUUGGUUUGUUACGUGUGGUUGGCUGCGGCGUUUGCAACAACUUCCAUGCUUUCAGACCUCUUCAGUYGUGCGGCAAGGCUUGUAUCGCCUUGAGCGUAUUGUGGGUUUUCUGUGUUGGCUACCUAAUCAAUGGUAUCGGUUGGAUUGAUCAAUGUUUCAUUUCGUCUACCGUCGCAUUCGCGGCGUGAGAUGAACCUUGAUGCGGUCUCUUUGAUCCACCUCGUCGAAGCGCWUGCUUUGGCGUUGUGGCACAUUGAGCAUUGCUUGGUCUCUUGUAUACGGAACAUAUAGUGGGCAUGGAUCUAACGAUUCUCGUUUGCCCUCAUAUUAGCGUAACGCUUCUCUUACACGACUUGCACCACGUUUUAG